UCCGUGUUCACCACGGCAGUCUCCUUAGAGAGCCCAACUGAAUGCUGGCAACUAAGGACAGGGGUUGCGCUCGUUGCGGGACUUAACCCAACAUGUCACCACACGAGCUGACGACAGCCAUGCAGCACCUGUCUCUCGGUCGUAUUGCUACGAAAACGGUAUUUCUACCGCGGUCCGAGGAUGUCAAGCCUAGGUAAGGUUUUUCGCGUUGCUUCGAAUUAAACCACAUGAUCCACCGCUUGUGCGGGCCCCCGUCAAUUCCUUUGAGUUUCAGUCUUGUGACCGUACUCCCCAGGCGGAGUGCUUAAUGUGUUGACUUCGGCACAGCAGGGGUCGAUACCCGCUACACCAAGCACUCAUCGUUUACGGCGUGGACUAC
Molecule: unclassified non-coding RNA, 379 nt
Filed under: uncultured bacterium
Lineage: Bacteria
Description: contains 16S-23S intergenic spacer region
Source: RNAcentral